This 413-nucleotide ribosomal RNA is filed under the name uncultured bacterium. Its description in RNAcentral is "bacterial SSU rRNA". It matches the Rfam family "Bacterial small subunit ribosomal RNA", at positions 28 to 436 of the family's 1533-position model. The record is from RNAcentral.
GACGAACGCUGGCGGCGUGCCUAACACAUGCAAGUCAACUUGACUGAAGGAGCAAUCUGACAGUAGAGUGGCGCAAGGGUGCGUAACGCGUAAGUAACUUGCCCAAGGUAAGGAAUAACGUCGAGAAUCGGCGCUAAUACCUCAUAAUGCAGCGGAUCCGCAUGGAUAUGUUGUUAAAAGGGUUUUACCCGCCUUUGGGGAUAGGCUUGCGUCUGAUUAGCUAGUUGGUGUGGUAAACGGCACACCAAGGCUACGAUCAGUAACUGGUCUGAGAGGAUGAUCAGUCACACUGGAACUGAGACACGGUCCAGACUCCUACGGGAGGCAGCAGUGAGGAAUAUUGGGCAAUGCUCGAAAGAGUGACCCAGCAACGCCGCGUGAGGAUGAAGGUAUUCUAUAUCGUAAACUCCUGU